Non-coding RNA from Salvia hispanica, 325 nucleotides. The record is from RefSeq and is a predicted model, not a curated record. Lineage: Eukaryota; Viridiplantae; Streptophyta; Magnoliopsida; Lamiales; Lamiaceae.
CUCAAUCAUGGAUCUCAGUUAGCUGAAGGAGGCGUCGCCCUUUUAUGAAAGAGUCAUGGAGAAGCUGCCGUUCAAGAGCGAACUUCAUGGAUUAGCAGCUUCGAGCCCAAUUGAACUACAUCACUUCAUUUAGUUUCACUUGAACUUCAUUCCUAAGUGAAAGCAGGAUCCAAUGAGGCACGUCUCAUGUAUGAGAAGCUUCAGUCUCACCCCAGUCCUAAAAUAAGCAAGAAGGCUCGGCCGUUUGCCUUUGGCUUCCAGGCAAUGGAAAUGAUGAAGGUUAGCAGCAUGGCUCGUCCUUCGCUUAGCUCAGGUUAUCAAAAUU